CGUAGAGAUGUGGAGGAAUACCGAUGGCGAAGGCAGCCCCCUGGGAUAAUACUGACGCUCAUGCACGAAAGCGUGGGGAGCAAACAGGAUUAGAUACCCUGGUAGUCCACGCCCUAAACGAUGUCAACUAGCUGUUGGGGUCUUCGGGCCUUAGUAGCGCAGCUAACGCGUGAAGUUGACCGCCUGGGGAGUACGGUCGCAAGAUUAAAACUCAAAGGAAUUGACGGGGACCCGCACAAGCGGUGGAUGAUGUGGAUUAAUUCGAUGCAACGCGAAAAACC
Molecule: ribosomal RNA, 281 nt
Filed under: Pusillimonas sp. NJUB218
Lineage: Bacteria; Pseudomonadati; Pseudomonadota; Betaproteobacteria; Burkholderiales; Alcaligenaceae
Description: partial 16S ribosomal RNA
Rfam family: Bacterial small subunit ribosomal RNA
Source: RNAcentral